RNAcentral lists this ribosomal RNA (1434 nucleotides) under uncultured organism. Its description in RNAcentral is "SSU rRNA". It matches the Rfam family "Bacterial small subunit ribosomal RNA". The record is from RNAcentral.
UUAACACAUGCAAGUCGAGGGGCAGCAUGGUCUUAGCUUGCUAAGGCCGAUGGCGACCGGCGCACGGGUGAGUAACACGUAUCCAACCUGCCGUCUACUCUUGGACAGCCUUCUGAAAGGAAGAUUAAUACAAGAUGGCAUCAUGAGUCCACAUGUUCACAUGAUUAAAGGUAUUCCGGUAGACGAUGGGGAUGCGUUCCAUUAGAUAGUAGGCGGGGUAACGGCCCACCUAGUCUUCGAUGGAUAGGGGUUCUGAGAGGAAGGUCCCCCACAUUGGAACUGAGACACGGUCCAAACUCCUACGGGAGGCAGCAGUGAGGAAUAUUGGUCAAUGGGCGAGAGCCUGAACCAGCCAAGUAGCGUGAAGGAUGACUGCCCUAUGGGUUGUAAACUUCUUUUAUAAAGGAAUAAAGUCGGGUAUGCAUACCCGUUUGCAUGUACUUUAUGAAUAAGGAUCGGCUAACUCCGUGCCAGCAGCCGCGGUAAUACGGAGGAUCCGAGCGUUAUCCGGAUUUAUUGGGUUUAAAGGGAGCGUAGAUGGAUGUUUAAGUCAGUUGUGAAAGUUUGCGGCUCAACCGUAAAAUUGCAGUUGAUACUGGAUAUCUUGAGUGCAGUUGAGGCAGGCGGAAUUCGUGGUGUAGCGGUGAAAUGCUUAGAUAUCACGAAGAACUCCGAUUGCGAAGGCAGCCUGCUAAGCUGCAACUGACAUUGAGGCUCGAAAGUGUGGGUAUCAAACAGGAUUAGAUACCCUGGUAGUCCACACGGUAAACGAUGAAUACUCGCUGUUUGCGAUAUACUGCAAGCGGCCAAGCGAAAGCGUUAAGUAUUCCACCUGGGGAGUACGCCGGCAACGGUGAAACUCAAAGGAAUUGACGGGGGCCCGCACAAGCGGAGGAACAUGUGGUUUAAUUCGAUGAUACGCGAGGAACCUUACCCGGGCUUAAAUUGCAGAUGAAUUACGGUGAAAGCCGUAAGCCGCAAGGCAUCUGUGAAGGUGCUGCAUGGUUGUUGUCAGCUCGUGCCGUGAGGUGUCGGCUUAAGUGCCAUAACGAGCGCAACCCUUGUUGUCAGUUACUAACAGGUUCUGCUGAGGACUCUGACAAGACUGCCGUCGUAAGAUGUGAGGAAGGUGGGGAUGACGUCAAAUCAGCACGGCCCUUACGUCCGGGGCUACACACGUGUUACAAUGGGGGGUACAGAAGGCAGCUACACGGCGACGUGAUGCUAAUCCCUAAAGCCUCUCUCAGUUCGGAUUGGAGUCUGCAACCCGACUCCAUGAAGCUGGAUUCGCUAGUAAUCGCGCAUCAGCCACGGCGCGGUGAAUACGUUCCCGGGCCUUGUACACACCGCCCGUCAAGCCAUGAAAGCCGGGGGUACCUGAAGUGCGUAACCGCAAGGAGCGCCCUAGGGUAAAACUGGUGAUUGGGGCUAAGU